This 490-nucleotide ribosomal RNA is filed under the name uncultured bacterium. Its description in RNAcentral is "partial 16S ribosomal RNA". It matches the Rfam family "Bacterial small subunit ribosomal RNA", at positions 30 to 507 of the family's 1533-position model. The record is from RNAcentral.
AUUGAACGCUGGCGGCAGGCCUAACACAUGCAAGUCGAACGGUAACAGGAAGAAGCUUGCUUCUUUGCUGACGAGUGGCGGACGGGUGAGUAAUGUCUGGGAAACUGCCUGAUGGAGGGGGAUAACUACUGGAAACGGUAGCUAAUACCGCAUAAUGUCGCAAGACCAAAGAGGGGGACCUUCGGGCCUCUUGCCAUCGGAUGUGCCCAGAUGGGAUUAGCUAGUAGGUGGGGUAACGGCUCACCUAGGCGCCGAUCCCUAGCUGGUCUGAGAGGAUGACCAGCCACACUGGAACUGAGACACGGUCCAGACUCCUACGGGAGGCAGCAGUGGGGAAUAUUGCACAAUGGGCGCAAGCCUGAUGCAGCUAUGCCGCGUGUAUGAAGAAGGCCUUCGGGUUGUAAAGUACUUUCAGCGGGGAGGAAGGGAGUAAAGUUAAUACCUUUGCUCAUUGACGUUACCCGCAGAAGAAGCACCGGCUAACUCCGUG